This 253-nucleotide ribosomal RNA is filed under the name uncultured bacterium. RNAcentral describes it as "partial 16S ribosomal RNA". It matches the Rfam family "Bacterial small subunit ribosomal RNA", at positions 524 to 776 of the family's 1533-position model. The record is from RNAcentral.
UACAGAGGUCCCAAGCGUUGUUCGGAUUCACUGGGCGUAAAGGGUGCGUAGGUGGCGAGGUAAGUCGGAUGUGAAAUCUCCAAGCUUAACUUGGAAAUGGCAUUGGAAACUACCUGGCUUGAGGUUUGGAGGGGGGACUGGAAUACUUGGUGUAGCAGUGAAAUGCGUAGAUAUCAAGUGGAACACCAGUGGCGAAGGCGAGUCCCUGGACAACACCUGACACUGAGGCACGAAAGCCAGGGGAGCAAACGGG